GGGGGGGUUUUAUUUGGGUUGGUCCUGCCAGUAGUCAUACGCUCGUCUCAAAGAUUAAGCCAUGCAUGUGUAAGUAUAAAUAAUUUUACUUUGAAACUGCGAAUGGCUCAUUAUAUCAGUUAUAGUUUAUUAGAAAUACUUUACUACUUGGAUAACCGUAGUAAUUCUAGGGCUAAUACAUGAAUAAAUCCUCAACUUCGGAAGAGGUGUGUUUAUUAGUAUGAAAACCAUAUAUCUUCGGAUAUAAUAGUGAGUAAUAAUAACCUUUCGUAUCGUAUGUCGUAAGAUAACGAUAGUUCUUUCAAGUUUCUGCCCUAUCAGCUUUCGAUGGUAGUAUAUGGGACUACCAUGGCAGUAACGGGUAACGAAGAAUUUGGGUUCGAUUUCGGAGAGGGAGCCUGAGAGAUGGCUACCACAUCCAAGGAAGGCAGCAGGCGCGUAAAUUACCCAAUCCUGACAUAGGGAGGUAGUGACAAUAAAUCACAAUGCGGAACUAUUUAGUUUUGCAAUUGGAUUGAGAACAAUGUACAAAUGUUAUCGAUAAACAAUUGGAGGGCAAGUCUGGUGCCAGCAGCCGCGGUAAUUCCAGCUCCAAUAGCGUAUAUUAACGUUGUUGCAUAAAAAAAAGCUCAAAGGGGGGGUU
Molecule: ribosomal RNA, 643 nt
Filed under: Blastocystis sp.
Lineage: Eukaryota; Bigyra; Opalinata; Blastocystidae
Description: SSU rRNA
Rfam family: Eukaryotic small subunit ribosomal RNA
Source: RNAcentral